RNAcentral lists this ribosomal RNA (494 nucleotides) under uncultured bacterium. Its description in RNAcentral is "bacterial SSU rRNA". It matches the Rfam family "Bacterial small subunit ribosomal RNA", at positions 903 to 1397 of the family's 1533-position model. The record is from RNAcentral.
AAAUGAAUAGACGGGGACCCGCACAAGCGGUGGAGCAUGUGGUUUAAUUCGAAGCAACGCGAAGAACCUUACCAAGGCUUGACAUGGGAAUGAUCGGUAUAGAGAUAUACCUUUCCUACGGGACAUUCCACACAGGUGGUGCAUGGUUGUCGUCAGCUCGUGUCGUGAGAUGUUGGGUUAAGUCCCGCAACGAGCGCAACCCUUAUCUUUAGUAGCCAUCGGGCAAGCCGGGCACACUAGAGAGACUGCCGUGGAUAACACGGAGGAAGGUGGGGACGACGUCAAAUCAUCAUGCCCCUUAUGUCUUGGGCUACACACGUGCUACAAUGGUUGCUACAAAGUGAUGCGAACCCGCGAGGGUGAGCCAACCACAAAAAAGUAGCCCCAGUUCGGAUUGCAGGCUGCAACCCGCCUGCAUGAAGUUGGAAUCGCUAGUAAUCGCGAAUCAGCAUGUCGCGGUGAAUACGUUCCCGGGUCUUGUACACACCGCCCGU